Molecule: transfer RNA, 85 nt
Filed under: Chlorobiota bacterium
Lineage: Bacteria; Pseudomonadati; Chlorobiota
Description: tRNA-Leu
Rfam family: tRNA
About the family: Transfer RNA (tRNA) molecules are approximately 80 nucleotides in length. Their secondary structure includes four short double-helical elements and three loops (D, anti-codon, and T loops).
Source: RNAcentral
GCCCGGAUGGCGAAAUGGCAGACGCACAGGACUUAAAAUCCUGGGUCCCGGAAGGGACGUGCGGGUUCGAGUCCCGCUCCGGGCA